CGGCAACAUCAGUUUGAAAUUGGAACCCCGGUUCUCAUAAGAUCACCGAAGUUAAACAACGUCGAGCCUGGUCAUUAUUUAGAUGGGUGACCAUUUGGGAAUAUCAAGUGCUGGAA
Acanthosepion pharaonis is the source of this 116-nucleotide non-coding RNA. The record is from the annotation of a GenBank genome assembly. NCBI's taxonomy places the organism in Eukaryota, Metazoa, Mollusca, Cephalopoda, Sepiida, Sepiidae.